AUUGACUACGACGACGUCGGCCGCGUCAUAGGUCGAAGCGACUUCGUAGCCUUCGGCGCGCAGCUGCGUGAGGAUGCGCUCGGAAUCCACGAGCGCCUUGGGGCAGCCGAGGCUGACGAAUCCAACUUUGGGGGAGCGUUUCUGUGCGCGUUUGGCCAUGGGGCGGGAGUAAUCAAAAAAGGGGCGUAUGGUAGCCCGUCUCAUUCAUGAACGGCAGGACGUCUCGGCGGAGCCUUGGCUGAAAGGGUCUUUUCGGGAUCGUGCGCGGCAGGAGCUCGGCGCCUGCGCCGA
Molecule: unclassified non-coding RNA, 291 nt
Filed under: plant metagenome
Description: partial contains 5.8S ribosomal RNA, internal transcribed spacer 2, and large subunit ribosomal RNA
Source: RNAcentral